This 465-nucleotide ribosomal RNA is filed under the name Vreelandella stevensii. RNAcentral's name for it is "partial 16S ribosomal RNA". It matches the Rfam family "Bacterial small subunit ribosomal RNA", at positions 338 to 795 of the family's 1533-position model. Lineage: Bacteria; Pseudomonadati; Pseudomonadota; Gammaproteobacteria; Oceanospirillales; Halomonadaceae. The record is from RNAcentral.
CCUACGGGUGGCAGCAGUGGGGAAUAUUGGACAAUGGGGGCAACCCUGAUCCAGCCAUGCCGCGUGUGUGAAGAAGGCCCUCGGGUUGUAAAGCACUUUCAGUGAGGAAGAACGCCUGGUGGUUAAUACCCAUCAGGAAAGACAUCACUCACAGAAGAAGCACCGGCUAACUCCGUGCCAGCAGCCCCGGUAAUACGGAGGGUGCGAGCGUUAAUCGGAAUUACUGGGCGUAAAGCGCGCGUAGGUGGCUUGAUAAGCCGGUUGUGAAAGCCCCGGGCUCAACCUGGGAACGGCAUCCGGAACUGUCAAGCUAGAGUGCAGGAGAGGAAGGUAGAAUUCCCGGUGUAGCGGUGAAAUGCGUAGAGAUCGGGAGGAAUACCAGUGGCGAAGGCGGCCUUCUGGACUGACACUGACACUGAGGUGCGAAAGCGUGGGUAGCAAACAGGAUUAGAUACCCUUGUAGUC